CGGGCGGGCAGGGGCGCGGGUGCCCCGGCGAGUCAGCCAUCUUCUGCCUCGCCGCCGGCCUGCAUGGGAGCGGCGCGGCGGGGCGGGCGGCGGCGGCGGCGCGGGCGUGCGGAGGCAGCGCGGAGAGAGCCGGCCCCGCGCCUGCUGUGGCGCUGCUGGCGGGCUGCCGCGGAGGGGGCGGCGGCGGGGACGGGAGGCCGGCCUCGGCCCGGCGGCGGGCGGGGCUUGCCGCCACCGAAUCGGCCGCCGCUGCCCGCCAUGCAGCCGGGGGGGGGUGACGCGCCCAGCGUGGGGCGGAGCGCGGGCGGACCCCCGCCCCUGCUCGGAGGUGGGAUGGGGGAGCCGCGAACCCGCGGACGCGCGUGGAUCCCCCCCCUCGAGGAGCUGCCUGCCUGCCCGCCCGGCCGGGGUGCCCGCGGUCGGCGUCGCGAUCGUACGGGCGGGUCGCGCUGCGGCGUGAAACGGCGCGUUUUCGAGGGAGAGCGGCUGAAAGAUGGGUGAAGAUUCUGUUACCGAUGAGUCCGCGUGCGCAACCUCUCAUCAAACGCAAGAGGUGCUCCCAGGAUCUCAGCAUCUCUCUCCCAUGGCAGGGACGGGAUAGGCAGCACGAGGGGAAGUUGCUUAUAAGCACCGUCGUGUAGCGUCAGAGCUGCAGGUUUGAAAGCUCUGAGAGCCAACCUCACAGAACCUUCCUGCUCUGAGGCACCAGCACCUUGCUCAUUCACGAAAUCACUCUGAGGAAGAAGGCAAAAUGAAUUUUUGCAUUAGGGACACAUCACUGGUUUCUCCGUAGUGCUGAUAACACAACUUUAGUGAAAAUCUCGGACCUUUUGCUACACAGAAUAACCAUGUUGCCCUGAAUGGUUAUUGUUUAGUGAAACAUCUGAAAACACAUAAUAGACUACUUGUUUGCAACGCUUGCUAUAGAUUUUGUAAUGAAGUGCCGUUGCGCUGCAUCAAUUUGACAGUUCGAGUUGAUAAUUUGACAGAAAGAUUAAUCCUAAACUCCCAGCAUAAACAGAAUUCCCUUUAAUGUCAGAAGGGACUUUGUAACUGCCAGCCCAAACGCUGCGGAUGGGCUUCAGCAGGUUACAGAGAGCGUCUUCAGGAUCAAAUUUGACAUUCCUCUUCCUGACUAACAGUUGGUAGUUGAAAAUAGAACACCUCUCCCAGUUCUGAAUUCUGACCCUCACUUCUUGCUCACCCAAACCGAGGACUUCCAGACUUCUUUUCCCAAACGCUCACCGCGAAGGCUUUUGAAUGCAGAUGUUCACUCGUGUCUCCUGACAGUAGGCUCAGUUUUCUCAGCUACUUUUAGUAAGCUCCUAAAAACAGCCCACGGUCCCUCAGAACCUCAUCAACAACUGGCUAAAAGCCACGGUCUCACUAAGUUGUUCUUCCAGUGGCAACAUAUGGAGGACCAUCAACCGUCAAGACGGAAGUUCAUGCAACUGUCAAGACUGAAUUUCAUGCAUUCAGAAUGCUUAGGCACCAUCUGACACUCGUAGAGACCCUAACGUUAAAUACAUCUACUGAACUGUGACAGCACACAUUUCUUGUGUGAAAGCCUAUAUUUCUGAUAAGGAAACCUGGUUCAGCAGCGCUCAAUAUGGAUUCUGGAUAACAUCUUAAAGAGGCCAACCAGCCAUUCCGUGCAUACAGAAACACGCCUGUGAACUUCUCCCUGCAGUCAGCUCCUUCAGCUCCCCACUUCCACGCCAGUGAUGUUAUUUCACCCACACCUUGCAGAAGGGGCGCAUUCCACUCAUUCCUGAGCUGGGACGAGCGCCCGCAGCAUUACUCACCCACAGCAGUGUCUGUAGAUCCCUGUCUGCUGUGGAUACUAAUCUCAAUCCAGAGCUUCCUCAGACGAUUAGAGGCUGUUCUGCAAAAUGUCAAUACACAGCCUCUCCGAAGCCAACACGGUGUGGUGGUUGAAAUGGGAGCCGUGGAGGCUUUCCAAAUAUGAAGGUCUGGAAAUGUUUGGAGGUAUUUUAAUAUUGAUGAAUACUUCAGAUUUUUUUUUUUUCUGUUGCUUCAGUGUAUCAGUGUCAAAUCUGUGCGGAUUAAUGGCAAGACAGAGCCCUAGUACCAUUCGUGUCUAUCAAAGUUCUGGCAAAUGCUAACAACUUACUGCUAUUAAUGAUCACUCUUUGCCCAGAAGUUCACAUAAUUCAUCAAAAAGCCAACGUUGAUAAGCAGAAAGAAAUUAAAUACUUCUGAGUCUUCUGUUAAAAUGCCUUUCUUUUUACUUUGUUUAACAUCUAAUGUCUCCUACAGCAAAAGUAAGCAAGGGGAAGUCUUUUCCUUCUUCAGCACAAAAGAGCACCCACACCACUCAAAAACAGUUGAGAUUAAACCUUUGAAAAGGUAUCAGCAGUGUGUGUAAAGCCAAAUUGGUAAAGUGUGCCCUAGACACCACUUUUGACUCUGGGGAAAAUGCUUUAUCAUCUGUCUACUGCUACGCUCUGCCUAUUCAUCACCAUUACUCAGUAACUCUGCGGUGGCAGCUUUGUACUUAACAUGAAGCCAAAGAUCAGGGAGAGGCACACAUCAAACAAGACUUGAACUUGGAGAUGGCAAACCAUACGUUCUAGACCUCAUUCCUUUAAAGGACCGUACCUCGGAAUGAAACCUGUGAGCCUUUUCUAUAGUUUCAUUUGUUCAAUACAGUGCUCCACUUGUUCUGUAAAAGAAGUUGGCAAAAGCCCUGCUUUCCUGAGAUCUUGUCAUUCAUUGUGACUGAAACCUAAAAGGCUGUCCUAUGGUACUAAGGCAGGUCUGGGGUACCUGAGAGAUCUACCUGCUCCCUAUGCCUCCAUUCCACAUUCUUCACACACCUUGAAACCAAGGAACUGUCAAACACAGAAGCAAAGAUGGCGAGGGGUGUACACCCCCAUUCUUUGCAGCUUUCCAUGGCUGUAAAGUUCCCUGUGAAGUGACCCGAGAAUAUGUACAAUGACAGAAAACUCAUUUCUUCACUCGCCAUUUCUCAACAACAGCCAGUUCCAGCCCUUGUCAUUCUUCUACUUCUCCACACAGACGAAGGCAGGAGAGAAUUCUCUUGGUUUAACUUUAAUAAAUGGAAUCAAAGAACAGCGGAGACUGAAAGGCUCUUGUGAAGAGGAACCUAACUUCCCUCCUCAAUGAUGGUGAGAAAUCAUAGGAAGAGACACAAGGAGGCGAAAUGUAUGUGCUCCACCCUGAUAGGAUGCAGUCACAAGGGCUGAGGAUGCUGGCAGAAGUGACUGCCAAACUACUCUCUAUCAUUUUUGAAAGGAGAUCAUGGAGAAUGGGAGAGGUGCCUGAAGGCUGGAGAAAAACUGAUGUCACAAAGGGCAAGAAGGAGGACCUGUGAAACUAAAGGCCAGUCAGCCUCACAUCCAUCCCCAGGAAGGUGAUGGAACAACUUACAUGCAACCUGCUCUAGGGAAACUGCUUUAGCAGUGGCGUUGCACUAGAUGAUCUCCAAAGCUUCCUUCCAGCCCUGUGAUUCUGUGAUUGUGUGAUUCUGUGAUACUUUAGAAUGUCACUGUCCGAACUAGAACCCAGUUCUUAUGUCCUGUAGGACAGCCCUGCCACUGCUGGAACACGUAAUGUAAAAUUUUUGCUGGGGGAAAACAAGCGAGUCUCCCUUUGGACUAGCUUGACUUUGAGCUCACUCACGAAAAACCAAUGACCUUUGAAAGAAUACAGAGAUGGCACCACUGACAGAUUUUUCCCCAGUUGGCUGCAAAUAAAGUUAUUUGAAAUAACUGCUAAAGCUGUAAUUUAUCAGACUUUUUCACAGAUUCCACAAAAGCUAGGAAACUCGAAAGGCUUUCUCCAGGCAGAACAUGCCAGUCAUUUGUGCAUGAAUUGCAAGAGGGGAAAUUAUAUGUUUCUUUUAGAGCUGUUGUUGCCAUCGUGGAAAGUGAACAAGCAUCUGUGCUUCAGAAAUCAGUGGAAGGAAGGUGUUCCGUGAAAGAGAGCAUGUGGGAAAGCGACUUGAAAUUGUGAGAGUAUAUGAAAGUAGCAGGAGUUCUGAAUGCCACUGGGGAGAAGAACUGGAACAAGGCUGACACAUGGAAAGGUGGUGAGAAAGCAAAAAGAAAUGUAAAGAGGAAUAUACUGAAGGGGGAAAAAAGAGAGAGAGAGAGAGAGAGAGAGAGAAAAAAAUUUGGCUAGGGAAUAGGUCUGAGCAAAUUCCAAAAGUGAGAGAGGAACAGAAAAAGAAGGAAAAAAUAUAGGGCAGAUGGAAGGUUUAUCUGUUGGAUAACUGUGCAGGUAAAUGUGAACAUUAAAGUUUUAAAGCGUGUUUUACUAUGGAAACUGAAAUCUGAAAGUCAGAUGUCCGAGAAGGACUUCUGAUGCAGCGGUGUUCCCUAUGUUUGUGUUAUACACAAUCUGCAAGAUGAUUGUCCUCUGUAGCGUUUGUCACCAAUUCUAAAAAAAAAAUAAAGAUUCCCAGUUACUAAUAUUUAAUUCAAGAGGACUGCUUACCUCAAAUCACUGUAUAUAGAAGCUGCACCACCAGCCCUAAGGUUCUUAAUUUCACUGCGAGGCUGACUAUUUCCUGGGUUACAAUGCAGUGAAGCUGAAUCCGGAAUACCAAUUUAAUACUUGAGUGCCCAGAGUCAGGCAGACACUUUGCAUAAAAGUCUUCUCUUGUGUGCGCUGAGCGCCUGCAGCUCCCCCUGGGAGGCAGUGGGUGCUGAGCACCUCCAAAAACGGGGUCACUGUCAUUUGACAGCUCUGAAAUGAAUCGAGGUGACAAAGUUUAAAACUAAACUUAUAAGCGAUUGACAUCUUUGUGGAACAGUGCUUCUCUGUAGGACUGCCACUCUUCUGGUCGUUCAAAUUUUGGUAUGUAGUGGAUGAACUUUUUUAAUACAGAUGCCUGUAUAGCUCAUGAACUAUUCAGAGAUAAUAUGAGGA
RNAcentral lists this long non-coding RNA (4917 nucleotides) under Gallus gallus (chicken). The record is from RNAcentral. Lineage: Eukaryota; Metazoa; Chordata; Aves; Galliformes; Phasianidae.